Molossus molossus (Pallas's mastiff bat) is the source of this 104-nucleotide small nucleolar RNA. RefSeq annotates it as small nucleolar RNA U13. Lineage: Eukaryota; Metazoa; Chordata; Mammalia; Chiroptera; Molossidae. The transcript has a single exon. The record is from RefSeq and is a predicted model, not a curated record.
AUCCUUGUGUAGUUCAUAAGCGUGAUGAUUAGGUGUUCAUGUUCUUGUGUGAGAUUUGCCUCCCUCAAACUUUGUUAUGACAUAGGCACAUUACUCGUCUGAUG